GCGAGCGGCGGACGGGUGAGUAAUGUCUGGGGAUCUGCCUGAUGGAGGGGGAUAACCACUGGAAACGGUGGCUAAUACCGCAUAACGUCGCAAGACCAAAGUGGGGGACCUUCGGGCCUCACGCCAUCGGAUGAACCCAGAUGGGAUUAGCUAGUAGGUGGGGUAAUGGCUCACCUAGGCGACGAUCCCUAGCUGGUCUGAGAGGAUGAUCAGCCACACUGGGACUGAGACACGGCCCAGACUCC
RNAcentral lists this ribosomal RNA (245 nucleotides) under uncultured bacterium. RNAcentral describes it as "partial 16S ribosomal RNA". It matches the Rfam family "Bacterial small subunit ribosomal RNA", at positions 91 to 339 of the family's 1533-position model. The record is from RNAcentral.